AUGUGUCGUAUCAUAGUUCAUUUUAUGUGGGAGGAUGUUCAGCAGCGUGGCAGAGUCAUGGGGGUUAAUCCCUAUAUCCUGAAGAAGAACAUGAUCCUCAUGACAAAUCAUUUCUAUGCAGCGAUCUUGGGAUAUGAUGAGGGGAUCCUUUCAGAUGAUCAUGGGCUGGCCGCUGCCCUCUGGAGAACCUUCUUCAACCGGAAAUGUGAAGACCCUCGACAUCUUGAAUUGCUGGUAGAGUAUGUGAGGAAACAGGUGAGCGACCCUUUUCCUCCCCUCCCGAGUCCUGGCAACAGUGGGUCCUCCUCUUGGGUUUUCAGGGGAUCAUGAGAGGUGGAGUUACCAAGGACCAGCCUGAGAGAAUUCUGACCAGAUCACAUCAGCACUAGACACUGAAGAAGGAGCACCUUCUGUGUGUCCAAUCAUGAACUGGGCCAGGGAGCGGGAAAUGGGAAGAGAGAGAGAAAGAGG
This 471-nucleotide small RNA is filed under the name Pongo abelii (Sumatran orangutan). RNAcentral's name for it is "retained intron". The record is from RNAcentral. Lineage: Eukaryota; Metazoa; Chordata; Mammalia; Primates; Hominidae.